GAUGAACGCUGGCGGCGUGCUUAAUACAUGCAAGUCGAGCGAACAGACGCGGAGCUUGCUCCUCUGACGUUAGCCGCGGACGGGUGAGUAACACGUGGAUAACCUACCUAUAAGACUGGGAUAACUUCGGGAAACCGGAGCUAAUACCGGAUAAUAUAUUGAACCGCAUGGUUCAAUAGUGAAAUUCGGUUUUGCUGUCACUUAUAGAUGGAUCUGCGCUGCAUUAGCUAGUUGGUAAGUUGACGGCUUACCACGGCAACGAGGCGUAGCCGACCUGAUAGAGUGGUAGGCCGCACGAGAGCUGAGACGCGGUCCAGGCGCCUGCGGUAGGCAGCAGAAGCGUAUCUUCCGCAGUAGGCGAGAGCCUGACGGAACGACGCCGAGUGAGAGGUAGAGAUCUUGGGAUCGUAAAGCUCUGUUAUUAGGGAAGAACAAAUGUGUAAGUAACUGUGCACGUCUUGACGGUACCUAAUCAGAAAGCCACGGCUAACUACGUG
Molecule: ribosomal RNA, 497 nt
Filed under: uncultured bacterium
Lineage: Bacteria
Description: partial 16S ribosomal RNA
Rfam family: Bacterial small subunit ribosomal RNA
Source: RNAcentral